CUAAUCUGCGAUAAGCGCCGGUAAGGUGAUAUGAACCGUUAUAACCGGCGAUUUCCGAAUGGGGAAACCCAGUGUGAUUCGUCACACUAUCAUUAACUGAAUCCAUAGGUUAAUGAGGCGAACCGGGGGAACUGAAACAUCUAAGUACCCCGAGGAAAAGAAAUCAACCGAGAUUCCCCCAGUAGCGGCGAGCGAACGGGGAGGAGCCCAGAGCCUGAAUCAGCAUGUGUGUUAGUGGAAGCGUCUGGAAAGGCGCGCGAUACAGGGUGACAGCCCCGUACACAAAAGCGCAUGUGCUGUGAGCUCGAUGAGUAGGGCGGGACACGUGGUAUCCUGUCUGAAUAUGGGGGGACCAUCCUCCAAGGCUAAAUACUCCUGACUGACCGAUAGUGAACCAGUACCGUGAGGGAAAGGCGAAAAGAACCCCGGCGAGGGGAGUGAAAAAGAACCUGAAACCGUGUACGUACAAGCAGUGGGAGCACAGGUUUACCUGUGUGACUGCGUACCUUUUGUAUAAUGGGUCAGCGACUUAUAUUCUGUAGCAAG
RNAcentral lists this ribosomal RNA (546 nucleotides) under Salmonella enterica subsp. enterica serovar Napoli. Its description in RNAcentral is "partial 23S ribosomal RNA". It matches the Rfam family "Bacterial large subunit ribosomal RNA", at positions 61 to 644 of the family's 2925-position model. The record is from RNAcentral. Lineage: Bacteria; Pseudomonadati; Pseudomonadota; Gammaproteobacteria; Enterobacterales; Enterobacteriaceae.